This 376-nucleotide long non-coding RNA is filed under the name Nicotiana tabacum (common tobacco). Its description in RNAcentral is "long non-coding RNA (NTAB_LNC008608)". Lineage: Eukaryota; Viridiplantae; Streptophyta; Magnoliopsida; Solanales; Solanaceae. The record is from RNAcentral.
AUUGCAACUAUGUGACCCUUAUGGUCCCGCUCUUCCCCGGAUCCCGCCCAUAGUGGGAGCCUUGACGUAACUGGUAAAGUUGCCUCUAUGUGACCAGGAGCUCACAGGUUCGACUAGUGGAAACAACUUCUUGCAAAAAUGUAGUGUAAGACCACGUACAAUAGACCCUUAUGGUCCCGCUCUUCUCCGGACCCCGCCCAUAGUGGGAGCCUUGACGUAACUGGUAAAGUUGCCUCUAUGUGACCAGGAGCUCACAGGUUCGAGCAGUGGAAAUAAUCUCUUGCAAAACGUCAGGUAGUGACGUACACAGAAUUUCUUAGAAGCGGUGUCAUAAUUAAUCAAUAGACGGUGACUCAUAAAAGUUAGCGGAAAUGAC